AGAGAAACAGGGAGUGGAUAACGAGCUCUGCCUGCAAGGUGAGAAGAUAAGCACGUCUGUCGUCAGCAUGCAGUGUGCAUUUUUUUUGCACAGAAUUGACACUGGGCAGCCUGGAACAAAGUCAAGCUGAGACACUGCACACAAAUACUACAAUGGUUAUUCAGGGGUUUCAAAUAUUUCAGGUGGUUCAGAGCAUUUGCUGUUGGCAUGGGAAGUCAGCCUGACAAUACAUAAGGGAACAGGACCUACACUAUAUUAGUCCAGUUUAAU
Molecule: non-coding RNA, 270 nt
Organism: Pelobates cultripes (western spadefoot toad)
Lineage: Eukaryota; Metazoa; Chordata; Amphibia; Anura; Pelobatidae
Source: the annotation of a GenBank genome assembly